Molecule: long non-coding RNA, 1202 nt
Filed under: Zonotrichia albicollis (white-throated sparrow)
Lineage: Eukaryota; Metazoa; Chordata; Aves; Passeriformes; Passerellidae
Description: lncRNA (ENSZALG00000009411.1)
Source: RNAcentral
GUGGAUUCUGCUCCUCCUGGUGUCAUUGGGAAUUCUGCCAUUGUCUUCAAUAAAAGCAGGACUGGACCCCUGAAAGAGCCAUAUUAUUGGAUUAUUCAAAGCUCUGGUGAGAAUUGACACUGGUAUAUUGACAACAGCUUGUUUUUUUAGUUUAAGAUAUCUUAAUUGGAUUAACCAGUCACUUUGUUUUGUGUAAUGAUUUUAUAUCUCUGAAUGCAAUUUGCUAUGAUUAAAUAAGAAAUGUUUUUCCUUCUUCAAUUGACACCAACAAGAACAGUAAGUAGCUUUCAGUCAAGAGUAUAAAUUCCAACUGGCAUCUCUUCAUGCACCAGCAAUCUUUGGGUGAAAAAGGAAACAGGGUGAGUGUGAGGAAGAAGGAAUUCGGUCUGGCAACUGGGAGUGCAACAAGAAUUAACCCAAUAUAUUUCUCUUUCAGGUUUGUGUCUCAGGCAGAGACAAAAAGGAUUCCAAAGGCUGCACCUGCACACCCUGCUCUGGAUAGAUGCCAGCUUCACAGUGGAUACAUGCCUGGGUCACAACACAUUUCAGAAAAGAGGAUCUGCAACAUUUCAAACAAAAAUUUCUCGAGAUGCCUUGGCAGAAUAGUCACAGGGAGUGAAUAUUCCUGAAUAUUCCAGUCAUUCUUAGGAUGUCAAAACAGUCCCAACUCUGGGAUCUUCUCCCAUGAACCCACAUGGCUGAGCCACCAAGACCAAACAUCAAAAGUUGCAGGAGUGGCAGCCUACCACUCCUUUCUGUUCCUGUUUUCCUCGGAUAAAGUCCACGGUCAUUCCAGUGCUCUUUCUCAUCACCAAGUGCUCGAAGUUCAUACCUCAGAGACAAUCUCAAUGGUAUUAAAAUCUUCUGUGUAACACCAUCAGUGAUUUCAUGCUUGUGAUGGAUGGCCUUGUAAUGCAUUACCGUGUCUUCAGAGAUAUUUGGGAUGCACAAUAGGCCCUUGAAGUGAAAAGGUGACAGUAAAUGCCAAUUUCCUUCUGGUUUUAUUUCAUACCCAAUGGACUAUGAAGUGGAUUGGAGUCAAUGAAGCAUUCUGGAGACUUCUACAAAUCAUGUUCCCAAUGAAGAAGUAGGAUAUGUAAAAUUUUUGCCUCCUAACAAAUAUAUAAGCUAAAAACUUUUGGGUUUGUAACUUGUUUGUUUUGAUCAAAUGAUCAUUGAAAUAAAAAAGAUGAAGACUGCCA